Molecule: ribosomal RNA, 500 nt
Filed under: uncultured bacterium
Lineage: Bacteria
Description: partial 16S ribosomal RNA
Rfam family: Bacterial small subunit ribosomal RNA
Source: RNAcentral
ACUCAAAGGAAUAGACGGGGGUCCGCACAAGCGGUGGAACAUGUGGUUUAAUUCGACACUACGCGAGAAACCUUACCUGGGCUUGACAUCUAACUGCAACUGAUAGAAAUAUUGGGUUCCGUAGCAAUACGGACGGUUAGACAGGUGCUGCAUGGCUGUCGUCAGCUCGUGUCGUGAGACGUCGGGUUAAGUCCUUGAACGAGCGCAACCCUUGCCGUUAGUUGCCUGUCGUAAGGCGGCACUCUAGCGGGACUGCCGUGGAAACACGGAGGAAGGUGGGGAUGACGUCAAGUCCUCAUGGCCCUUAUGCCCAGGGCUACACACGUGUUACAAUGGCGAGCCACAAAAGGAUGCGAAGUCGCGAGAUGGAGCUAAUCCCUAAAACUCGUCUAAGUUCGGAUUGUAGUCUGCAACCCGACUACAUGAAGCUGAAAUCGCUAGUAAUCGUAGAUCAGAACGCUACGGUGAAUACGUUCUCGGACCUUGCACACACCGCCCGU